CAGCUAUAUUUAAACACUGCUGCCUAACUUAUACAACGAUCUCGUGCGCACUCUACGUUCCACAUAAUCCAAGCAACAAUUCUCCACCCUCCGUUGGAACUUCACUUAACACCUUGUCCGCAGGAAUUUCCAUGGCUAAAAAAGAGCGAUAUCCACGGGUUACAUCCUAUCGUUUGCUCGUGCUGUUCCAGGCAGCGAGCGAAAUAAUCAGCGCGAGAUCUCGAACAAACACGGCUCUCUCCUACGUACGAAAGGGUGCACGAAAGGAGACGACACGGAAACAGGCAGACGUGGAAAGGCUGGCGGUUGAAUGAACAAGGGACAGGGAGGGGAGCAGGGGGAGCAGCAAGGAGAGGCGAAGCUAAGGAAGAAACAGGAAGCCGAGCGCAGGAGAAUGGCGGACAGACGGAGGAAGAGCAUGCAAGGGUGGUGCGAAGCGUAGUACGAUAACCGUAUAUAUACGACGCUCUGCCAGUCUCAUCGACCUAAAACCGAGGCGAACUCGGCGAGAGUGGCGGCGAGGCCGCGAUGGAGACGCCGGCAGUGGUGUAACUCGCUGUGCAAUCGGGGCUGCGAACGAUAUCGAAUGAGCGAGCGAGACAUCGUCCGAGAUACGUG
This 618-nucleotide unclassified non-coding RNA is filed under the name Bombus terrestris (buff-tailed bumblebee). RNAcentral's name for it is "misc RNA ENSBTSG00005037597.1". Lineage: Eukaryota; Metazoa; Arthropoda; Insecta; Hymenoptera; Apidae. The record is from RNAcentral.